GCUUCUGCUGGGACUGGGAGGAGCCACCACCACCACCAGCACCACCACCAUCACCAGUAGCUUCCGUGCUUAUAAAUAGAGGCACCCGCCAGCCAUAUACCCAGCAUCUCGUACACAACUUUCUUGGAUCUUUCUCCCAGUAUUAUACUCUCUUUCUUCUUCGAUCUUUACCCUCUUCCUCUAAUCUUUAAAGAUGUCUCCUAACGCAACAAUGGAACCUCCCAUGGACUCCAAAGCCAGGGCAUAUGUGACUUUCUUGGCUGGCAAUGGGGAUUAUGUGAAGGGUGUGGUAGGCUUAGCCAAGGGUUUAAGGAAGACAAAAACUGCAUACCCUCUUGUGGUUGCUGUUUUACCUGACGUCCCAGAGGAGCACCGCCAGAUUCUUGAAUCUCAGGGCUGUAUUGUCCGUGAGAUUGAGCCCGUGUACCCACCGGAGAGCCAGACCCAGUUUGCCAUGGCUUAUUAUGUGAUUAACUACUCAAAGCUGCGUAUUUGGGAGUUUGUUGAGUAUGAAAAGAUGAUAUAUUUGGAUGGAGAUAUACAAGUCUUUGAGAAUAUUGAUCACCUAUUCGAUUCACCAAAUGGGUAUUUCUAUGCUGUUAUGGAUUGUUUCUGCGAGAGGAAUUGGAGGUUCUCUCCACAAUACAAGAUUGGUUAUUGCCAACAGCGUCCUGAAAGGGUUCAAUGGCCAAAGGAGAUGGGCUCUCCGCCUCCUCCCUACUUCAAUGCUGGUAUGUUUGUGUUUGAGCCUAAUCUUUUGACCUACUCUGAUCUCUUGGAGACCCUCAAAGUCACCCCUACAACUUCUUUUGCUGAGCAGGACUUUCUGAACAUGUACUUCAAGGAUGUGUACAAGCCAAUCCCUCCAGAGUACAAUCUUGUUUUGGCUAUGCUUUGGCGCCACCCUGAAAAUGUGGAGUUCGACAAAGUUAAAGUUGUCCAUUAUUGUGCAGAUGGUGGAAAGCCAUGGAGGUACACAGGGAAAGAAGAGAACAUGGACAGAGAGGACAUAAAGCUGCUGAUGAAGAAAUGGUGGGAUAUAUAUGAGGAUGAGUCAUUGCACUACAAGAAUGCUACGGCUGAUCAUGGAAAACUUGGCUCCAUAAUUGCUGCACUGACUGAGGAAGAAGUGGUUGAUCACCAGAGAAGUGCUCCAUCUGCUGCUUAAUUAAAAAUAUACAUUAAUUCUAAUUACUAUAGACAAUAGUACUUAGUUCUUGAGCAGUAGAGUGCAUGUUUUAAGGUAUGAUGUACUAGUGGCUUGUGUUGUGUUAAUUUAUACAUGGUAAUUGCAACCUUGGCACCUAAAAUAAUCCAUGUAAUGUAUUAAUCAUCAAGUUUGAUUAUUAUUAUUAUUAUUAU
Molecule: unclassified non-coding RNA, 1362 nt
Filed under: Hevea brasiliensis (rubber tree)
Lineage: Eukaryota; Viridiplantae; Streptophyta; Magnoliopsida; Malpighiales; Euphorbiaceae
Source: RNAcentral